AGCGCGGAGGGAUACAACGCACGGGGAGGAGGGGCUGAGAAGGGGCAGCGGCGAUUCGCGGCGGCGGCGGGCCUGGAAGUUACCGAGUUGCAGUGUUGCAGAAAAGGGAAGCGAACGAAGCCAAAAUGCCCCUGGGGAGUGCGGCCCCGCUGGGGAGGCGGGCUGAGGAAGCCUGGCCCUCCUCUCAGCCCCCCUCCUCCACCCGCUGAGGCUCCCCUAGCCCCGUAACCAGGCCCCUCCCGGGCGCGAGGCUCCGGCAGCCCCGGGCUCUUUCGGCGCUCGGCGGGGCCUUGGGGUGCGGCGGGUUUGGCAUCUGCGCGAGCGAUGGCAAAAGGAGUGUUGUCAACGCGAGGACAAGCGAAGGAUGAUGAUGCCUGCAACCUAUGGCUGGACUGGAGGUAAUUCACUAGUGGAUCAAUAACGUACCGAAGGUUCCUGAAAGGCUGCAACAUUGUACAGGGCCUGAUUAGAGAUUAAAACAUUGGUUUAUUUAAUGCUUGUUAGCUUGACGAUACCGAGUAAACGUUCUGAUUCGUGCUGUAUCUUUU
Molecule: long non-coding RNA, 548 nt
Organism: Pezoporus flaviventris
Lineage: Eukaryota; Metazoa; Chordata; Aves; Psittaciformes; Psittacidae
Exons: 2
Source: RefSeq, a predicted model, not a curated record